This 1518-nucleotide ribosomal RNA is filed under the name uncultured bacterium. RNAcentral describes it as "16S ribosomal RNA". It matches the Rfam family "Bacterial small subunit ribosomal RNA". The record is from RNAcentral.
AGAGUUUGAUCCUGGCUCAGAUUGAACGCUGGCGGCAUGCUUUACACAUGCAAGUCGAACGGCAGCGCGGGGCAACCUGGCGGCGAGUGGCGAACGGGUGAGUAAUAUAUCGGAACGUACCCAAGAGUGGGGGAUAACGUAGCGAAAGUUACGCUAAUACCGCAUACGAUCUAAGGAUGAAAGCAGGGGAUCUUCGGACCUUGUGCUCCUGGAGCGGCCGAUAUCUGAUUAGCUAGUUGGUGAGGUAAAGGCUCACCAAGGCGACGAUCAGUAGCUGGUCUGAGAGGACGACCAGCCACACUGGAACUGAGACACGGUCCAGACUCCUACGGGAGGCAGCAGUGGGGAAUUUUGGACAAUGGGCGAAAGCCUGAUCCAGCAAUGCCGCGUGAGUGAAGAAGGCCUUCGGGUUGUAAAGCUCUUUUGUCAGGGAAGAAACGGGAGUGGCUAAUAUCCAUUCCUAAUGACGGUACCUGAAGAAUAAGCACCGGCUAACUACGUGCCAGCAGCCGCGGUAAUACGUAGGGUGCAAGCGUUAAUCGGAAUUACUGGGCGUAAAGCGUGCGCAGGCGGUUGUGUAAGACAGGUGUGAAAUCCCCGGGCUUAACCUGGGAACUGCGCUUGUGACUGCACGGCUAGAGUACGGCAGAGGGGGGUGGAAUUCCACGUGUAGCAGUGAAAUGCGUAGAUAUGUGGAGGAACACCGAUGGCGAAGGCAGCCCCCUGGGCCGAUACUGACGCUCAUGCACGAAAGCGUGGGGAGCAAACAGGAUUAGAUACCCUGGUAGUCCACGCCCUAAACGAUGUCGACUAGUCGUUCGGAGAGGUAACUCACUGAGUGACGCAGCUAACGCGUGAAGUCGACCGCCUGGGGAGUACGGCCGCAAGGUUAAAACUCAAAGGAAUUGACGGGGACCCGCACAAGCGGUGGAUGAUGUGGAUUAAUUCGAUGCAACGCGAAAAACCUUACCUACCCUUGACAUGCCAGGAAUCCUUGAGAGAUCAGGGAGUGCCUUCGGGAGCCUGGACACAGGUGCUGCAUGGCUGUCGUCAGCUCGUGUCGUGAGAUGUUGGGUUAAGUCCCGCAACGAGCGCAACCCUUGUCGCUAAUUGCCAUCAUUAGGUUGGGCACUUUAGCGAGACUGCCGGUGACAGACCGGAGGAAGGUGGGGAUGACGUCAAGUCCUCAUGGCCCUUAUGGGUAGGGCUUCACACGUCAUACAAUGGUCGGUACAGAGGGCUGCCAAAGCGCGAGCUGGAGCCAAUCCCUUAAAGCCGAUCGUAGUCCGGAUCGUAGUCUGCAACUCGACUACGUGAAGUCGGAAUCGCUAGUAAUCGCAGAUCAGCAUGCUGCGGUGAAUACGUUCCCGGGCCUUGUACACACCGCCCGUCAAACCAUGGAAGUUGGGGGUACCUGAAGUCUGUUACCGCAAGGAGCGGCCUAGGGUAAAACCAAUGACUGGGGUUAAGUCGUAACAAGGUAGCCGUACCGGAAGGUGUGGCUGGAUCACCUCCUUA